GAGAAUUUUGGGUCUUUCGAUUGUCUCUCCAACAAAUUUCUUGACAUAGAUCAGGAAGGAUUGGGCAAAAGAUAUGUUGGUGUGCCGGGCAUGAAUUCUAUUUGUAAAUCAUUAUGCAAUGAGACUGGAGUGGAAAGCAAGUUUGGGAUAGGAGUUGGGAGGCUGGACUGGUUAGAUAGUGAGAAUUCAUGGUUGGUGAUGGGCG
RNAcentral lists this unclassified non-coding RNA (205 nucleotides) under Hevea brasiliensis (rubber tree). The record is from RNAcentral. Lineage: Eukaryota; Viridiplantae; Streptophyta; Magnoliopsida; Malpighiales; Euphorbiaceae.